UCUUGGUCAUUUAGAGGAAGUAAAAGUCGUAACAAGGUCUCCGUUGGUGAACCAGCGGAGGGAUCAUUACUGAGUCUCGACUCUCCUAACCCUUGUGAAUUAUAUAUCUUAAUUACUGCUUCGGUAGGGUUUUUAACCUGCCAGAAGAGUUUUAUAAAUGCUAUAUUAUUUUUAUUAUCUUCUGAGUUUAUUUUUAUAAUAUUAUAAAAACUUUCAGCAACGGAUCUCUUGGCUCUGGCAUCGAUGAAGAACGCAGCGAAAUGCGAUAAGUAAUGCGAAUUGCAGAAUCCAGUGAGUCAUCGAAUUUUUGAACGCAUAUUGCGCCUGCUAGUUUUACUAGUAGGCAUGCCUGUCUGAGCGUUAUUUCUAUACUAUACUUAAUAUUAAGUAUAUGUUGGAGACUGGUUUUUUUAAGUACCACCUUCUAAAUCUAGUGGCAACUAUUGCUUUAUCCUCUAUGUAUUUAAAAUCACAUAAUUGGAAGGCUUUUUAAACUGCCAGAAAUAUAUAUUAUAAGUUUAACCUCAGAUCAGGUAGGAAUACCCGCUGAACUUAAGCAUAUCAAUAAGCGGAGGAA
RNAcentral lists this ribosomal RNA (577 nucleotides) under Ophiocordyceps australis. RNAcentral's name for it is "eukaryotic LSU rRNA". The stretch from base 209 to 363 matches the Rfam family "5.8S ribosomal RNA". The record is from RNAcentral. Lineage: Eukaryota; Fungi; Ascomycota; Sordariomycetes; Hypocreales; Ophiocordycipitaceae.